RNAcentral lists this ribosomal RNA (429 nucleotides) under Chloroflexota bacterium. Its description in RNAcentral is "Chloroflexi bacterium partial 16S ribosomal RNA". It matches the Rfam family "Bacterial small subunit ribosomal RNA", at positions 355 to 776 of the family's 1533-position model. The record is from RNAcentral. Lineage: Bacteria; Bacillati; Chloroflexota.
UGGGGAAUAUUGCACAAUGGGCGCAAGCCUGAUGCAGCCAUGCCGCGUGUAUGAAGAAGGCCUUCGGGUUGUAAAGUACUUUCAGCGGGGAGGAAGGGAGUAAAGUUAAUACCUUUGCUCAUUGACGUUACCCGCAGAAGAAGCACCGGCUAACUCCGUGCCAGCAGCCGCGGUAAUACGGAGGGUGCAAGCGUUAAUCGGAAUUACUGGGCGUAAAGCGCACGCAGGCGGUUUGUUAAGUCAGAUGUGAAAUCCCCGUGCUCAACCUGGGAACUGCAUCUGAUACUGGCAAGCUUGAGUCUCGUAGAGGGGGGUAGAAUUCCAGGUGUAGCGGUGAAAUGCGUGGAGAUCUGGAGGAAUACCGGUGGCGAAGGCGGCCCCCUGGACGAAGACUGACGCUCAGGUGCGAAAGCGUGGGGAGCAAACAGG